This 234-nucleotide unclassified non-coding RNA is filed under the name plant metagenome. RNAcentral describes it as "partial contains small subunit ribosomal RNA, internal transcribed spacer 1, and 5.8S ribosomal RNA". The record is from RNAcentral.
UUUCCGUAGGUGAACCUGCGGAAGGAUCAUUAAAGUUUUAGUCCCCUGGCCCUCUGGGCUGGGGUCUUCUAUACCACCCUUUGUUUAUUACACCUUUGUUGCUUUGGCAGGCCUGCCCUCGGGCUGCUGGCUCCGGCCGGCUCGCGUCUGCCAGAGGACCUAAACUCUGUUUGUAUAUGAAGUCUGAGUACUAUAUAAUAGUUAAAACUUUCAACAACGGAUCUCUUGGUUCUG